CAGCAGCCGCGGUAAUACGAAGGGGGCUAGCGUUGUUCGGAAUUACUGGGCGUAAAGGGCGCGUAGGCGGCCAUUCAAGUUAGAUGUGAAAGCCCUGGGCUCAACCUAGGAAUUGCAUUUGAUACUGUUUGGCUUGAGUUCGGGAGAGGUGAGUGGAAUUCCCAGUGUAGAGGUGUAAUUCGUAGAUAUUGGGAAGAACACCAGUGGCGAAGGCGGCUCACUGGACCGACACUGACGCUGAGGCGCGAAAGCGUGGGGGGCAAACAGGAUUAGAUACCCCGGUAGUCCCUGUCUCUUAUAC
RNAcentral lists this ribosomal RNA (301 nucleotides) under uncultured bacterium. RNAcentral's name for it is "partial 16S ribosomal RNA". It matches the Rfam family "Bacterial small subunit ribosomal RNA", at positions 509 to 807 of the family's 1533-position model. The record is from RNAcentral.